UAUGAAUCCUUUUAGCACCAUAAGAACUUGCAU
Molecule: non-coding RNA, 33 nt
Filed under: Mus musculus (house mouse)
Lineage: Eukaryota; Metazoa; Chordata; Mammalia; Rodentia; Muridae
Source: RNAcentral